CCAGAAGACACUCGGGAGAGAGUUCUGGGCUGGCAAUCUUGAGGAUGGCCUGAACGUGAUGGACACAUCACCACCAUCAUCACCAUGGGGCCACUCAGAAAACUUACCUGAACACCUGAUGACAUCAUCCGAGACCCAAACUGCAAAGAAUGCUUAACCCCAACAUCUAGGAAGAGGACGAUGACUAAAUCUCUCCUCAGUGGAGGCUGUAACAACUGGAACAAAUGAAGAUAACAAAAUUAGACCUAUGGGACAAUUUCAAAUAGGAGACCAAGCAGCAGCAGCAGUGACAACAAAACAAACCCAAACCCCCACAACGUUUAACUGAAAGGGAGAUAAGACAGUGUGGCAGCCUCACGAGGACAUGUGUCAGGAUGAAGCUUCUCAAAGUGGCGCACGGAGGCCGUGAUCUA
Long non-coding RNA from Camelus dromedarius (Arabian camel), 413 nucleotides. RefSeq lists it as uncharacterized. The record is from RefSeq and is a predicted model, not a curated record. The transcript has 4 exons. NCBI's taxonomy places the organism in Eukaryota, Metazoa, Chordata, Mammalia, Artiodactyla, Camelidae.